Molecule: ribosomal RNA, 495 nt
Filed under: uncultured Desulfobulbus sp.
Lineage: Bacteria; Pseudomonadati; Thermodesulfobacteriota; Desulfobulbia; Desulfobulbales; Desulfobulbaceae
Description: bacterial SSU rRNA
Rfam family: Bacterial small subunit ribosomal RNA
Source: RNAcentral
CUCAGAAACUUAAAGGAAUUGACGGGGCCCGCACAAGCGGUGGAGUAUGUGGCUUAAUUCGAUGCAACGCGAAGAACCUUACCUGGUCUUGACAUCCCGGAGACCCUUAGGAAACUAGGGGGUGCUUCCAUCUGGAAGAAUCUGGAGACAGGUGCUGCAUGGCUGUCGUCAGCUCGUGUCGUGAGAUGUUGGGUUAAGUCCCGCAACGAGCGCAACCCUUGCCUUUAGUUGCCAGCAGUUCGGCUGGGCACUCUAAAGGGACUGCCGGUGUUAAACCGGAGGAAGGUGGGGAUGACGUCAAGUCCUCAUGGCCUUUAUGACCAGGGCUACACACGUACUACAAUGGCCGAUACAAAGGGCAGCGACACUGCGAGGUGAAGCCAAUCCCGUAAAAUCGGUCUCAGUCCGGAUUGGAGUCUGCAACUCGACUCCAUGAAGUUGGAAUCGCUAGUAAUCGUGGAUCAGCAUGCCACGGUGAAUACGUUCCCGGGCCUU